UUUCCGUAGGUGAACCUGCGGAAGGAUCAUUACCGAGUUAGGGUUGCCUUCUAGGUGCCCGACCUCCCAACCCUUUGUCUAUGAUACCACAGUUGCUUCGGCGGACCGAGGGGUCAUACCCUCGCCUGGUCGACCUGGCCGGGAGAGUCUGUCCGUCGAUGGCCCAACCAAACAAACUCCCAAACCAAAAUGUAUGUGAAACACAAUUCUGAAUCAGACCUUUUGAUAUACCAAUCAAAAACAAAACUUUCAACAACGGAUCUCUUGGUUCUGGCAUCGAUGAAGAACGCAGCC
Molecule: unclassified non-coding RNA, 294 nt
Filed under: uncultured fungus
Lineage: Eukaryota; Fungi
Description: sequence contains ITS1, 5.8S rRNA gene
Rfam family: 5.8S ribosomal RNA (bases 245-294)
Source: RNAcentral